AUUGAACGCUGGCGGCAUGCCUUACACAUGCAAGUCGAACGGUAACGGGCCUUCGGGUGCCGACGAGUGGCGAACGGGUGAGUAAUACAUCGGAACGUGCCCGAUCGUGGGGGAUAACGAGGCGAAAGCUUUGCUAAUACCGCAUACGAUCUACGGAUGAAAGCAGGGGACCGCAAGGCCUUGCGCGGACGGAGCGGCCGAUGGCAGAUUAGGUAGUUGGUUGGAUAAAAGCUUACCAAGCCGACGAUCUGUAGCUGGUCUGAGAGGAUGAUCAGCCACACUGGGACUGAGACACGGCCCAGACUCCUACGGGAGGCAGCAGUGGGGAAUUUUGGACAAUGGGCGCAAGCCUGAUCCAGCCAUGCCGCGUGCAGGAUGAAGGCCUUCGGGUUGUAAACUGCUUUUGUACGGAAAGAAAAGCCUUCUUUUAAUACAGGAGGGUCAUGACGGUACCGUAAGAAUAAGCACCGGCUAACUACGUG
RNAcentral lists this ribosomal RNA (482 nucleotides) under uncultured bacterium. Its description in RNAcentral is "partial 16S ribosomal RNA". It matches the Rfam family "Bacterial small subunit ribosomal RNA", at positions 30 to 507 of the family's 1533-position model. The record is from RNAcentral.